Molecule: ribosomal RNA, 177 nt
Filed under: Triticum aestivum (bread wheat)
Lineage: Eukaryota; Viridiplantae; Streptophyta; Magnoliopsida; Poales; Poaceae
Description: partial small subunit ribosomal RNA
Source: RNAcentral
GUAAGGAGUCUGGCUGGCGCAGCCUGGAGCACCGCUGACAAGCAAGCGGCGUGCAAGUGCAUCAAGAGCGCUGCCGAUGGGCUCAACGCUGGCAAGGCCGCCGGCAUCCCCUCCAAGUGCGGCGUCAGCGUCCCCUAUGCCAUCUGCGCCACCGUCGACUGCUCUAAGAUUCGCUGA